AUUGAGAAUGAUUGAAGGGCUUGUACAAGACUACUAAAUAGGAAAUAUAAUCAUAAUUAAAUGCGUAAUUAUAGCCACGAUUCUAGUACCUAAAUAUAUUCACACAAUCAGUACAAAUACACAUAUCAUAGCUAUUUGUGGUACAUAUCUUAACAUUUGGUAAUACCUAUAUUAGUUUGAUUGCUUCGGAUAGAACCUUGAACUGUGCAAGUCAAGACUUGAGCAGUUCUUGCUGAUUUGAAAUCUCAUAUUCAUAUUCAUUAAUGAUUUUUAUGUGUGGUAUGCUUGAUGGUGACUUAAUAUGAACCUACCCAACUCCACCU
Molecule: unclassified non-coding RNA, 323 nt
Filed under: Hevea brasiliensis (rubber tree)
Lineage: Eukaryota; Viridiplantae; Streptophyta; Magnoliopsida; Malpighiales; Euphorbiaceae
Source: RNAcentral